GCGCCGUCGUUACUCGGUGCAACCGUCAAGUGUGGGGCCCGAGACGAGAUUCGGGCGACACGUCAACGAGGCGGACGCUUCACCGGGCGCAUUGGACUCGGAAAAAUUUUUAGGGACGGCGCGAACGCAGUCCCAGCUACCAAAAAUUACGUGCCCGAGAUAUCCGCGUAAGGGAUACUCGCAGGGGUCAACCGUACCGGAGUGCAAUGAUACGGCCUCGCCCUGGAGGAACCGCCUAUAUGAUCACGGUUAACCUCGACACCAAGUAAGUAUGAAUU
Non-coding RNA from Cinara cedri, 278 nucleotides. NCBI's taxonomy places the organism in Eukaryota, Metazoa, Arthropoda, Insecta, Hemiptera, Aphididae. The record is from the annotation of a GenBank genome assembly.